This 337-nucleotide ribosomal RNA is filed under the name Ignavibacterium sp. Its description in RNAcentral is "bacterial SSU rRNA". It matches the Rfam family "Bacterial small subunit ribosomal RNA", at positions 1 to 336 of the family's 1533-position model. Lineage: Bacteria; Pseudomonadati; Ignavibacteriota; Ignavibacteria; Ignavibacteriales; Ignavibacteriaceae. The record is from RNAcentral.
UACGGAGAGUUUGAUCCUGGCUCAGGACGAACGCUGGCGGCGUGCUUAACACAUGCAAGUCUACGAGAACGAGGUAGCAAUAUCUUUAGUAAAGUGGCGUACGGGUGCGUAACACGUAAGUAAUCUACCUUUGGGUUCGGAAUAACUUCGGGAAAUCGGAGCUAAUACCGGAUAAUGCAGCGGCACCGCAUGGUGAUGUUGUUAAAGUUUGUGUAAUGCCUAAAGAUGAACUUGCGUCUGAUUAGCUAGUUGGUGAGGUAAUGGCUCACCAAGGCUGCGAUCAGUAGCUGGUCUGAGAGGAUGAUCAGCCACACUGGAACUGAGACACGGUCCAGAC